This 60-nucleotide transfer RNA is filed under the name Haplorchis taichui. RNAcentral's name for it is "tRNA-Val". Lineage: Eukaryota; Metazoa; Platyhelminthes; Trematoda; Opisthorchiida; Heterophyidae. The record is from RNAcentral.
GGCGAGAUAGUUUAUUGAAAAUGUCUAUUUUACGCGUAGAAGAAGGAUUACCUAUCGUCA